CCUACGGGAGGCAGCAGUGGGGAAUUUUCCGCAAUGGGCGAAAGCCUGACGGAGCAAUACCGCGUGAGGGAGGAAGGCUCUUGGGUUGUAAACCUCUUUUCUUAGGGAAGAACAAAAUGACGGUACCUAAGGAAUAAGCAUCGGCUAACUCCGUGCCAGCAGCCGCGGUAAUACGGAGGAUGCAAGCGUUAUCCGGAAUGAUUGGGCGUAAAGCGUCCGCAGGUGGUUUUGUAAGUCUAUUGUUAAAGCGUCUGGCUCAACCAGAUAUAGGCGGUAGAAACUACAAGACUAGAGUACGUUCGGGGCAGAGGGAAUUCCUGGUGUAGCGGUGAAAUGCGUAGAGAUCAGGAAGAACACCGGUGGCGAAAGCGCUCUGCUAGGCCGUAACUGACACUGAGGGACGAAAGCUAGGGGAGCGAAUGGGAUUAGAUACCCCAGUAGUCCUAGCCGUAAACGAUGGAUACUAGGCGUGGCUUGUAUCGACCCGAGCCGUGCCGUAGCUAACGCGUUAAGUAUCCCGCCUGGGGAGUACGCACGCAAGUGUGAAACUCAAAGGAAUUGACGGCNGAGACGCGCCGACGACGACGACGAGGGAGAGG
This 599-nucleotide ribosomal RNA is filed under the name uncultured bacterium. Its description in RNAcentral is "bacterial SSU rRNA". It matches the Rfam family "Bacterial small subunit ribosomal RNA", at positions 338 to 950 of the family's 1533-position model. The record is from RNAcentral.